This is a small nuclear RNA of Scleropages formosus (Asian bonytongue), 114 nucleotides long. Its record names the gene U5. It matches the Rfam family "U5 spliceosomal RNA". From Rfam's summary of the family: U5 RNA is a component of both types of known spliceosome. The precise function of this molecule is unknown, though it is known that the 5' loop is required for splice site selection and p220 binding, and that both the 3' stem-loop and the Sm site are important for Sm protein binding and cap methylation. Lineage: Eukaryota; Metazoa; Chordata; Actinopteri; Osteoglossiformes; Osteoglossidae. The record is from Ensembl.
UAUCUCAGGUUUCUUUUGAAAAUACACAAAUCUUCUGCCUUUUACUAAAGGUUUCCGUGGAGAGAAAUGCUGUUAAGAAGACGUGUGUUGUUUGUGAAGAGCGUGUUCCUAUUA